UACGUAGGGGGCAAGCGUUGUCCGGAAUCAUUGGGCGUAAAGCGCGCGUAGGCGGCCCGAUAAGUCUGCUGUGAAAGUCCAGGGCUCAACCCUGGAAUGCCGGUGGAUACUGUCGGGCUAGAGUUCGGAAGAGGCAAGUGGAAUUCCUGGUGUAGCGGUGGAAUGCGCAGAUAUCAGGAGGAACACCGGUGGCGAAGGCGGCUUCCUGGACCGCCACUGACGCUGAGGCGCGAAAGCGUGGGGAGCGAACAGG
RNAcentral lists this ribosomal RNA (253 nucleotides) under uncultured bacterium. RNAcentral's name for it is "partial 16S ribosomal RNA". It matches the Rfam family "Bacterial small subunit ribosomal RNA", at positions 524 to 776 of the family's 1533-position model. The record is from RNAcentral.